RNAcentral lists this ribosomal RNA (253 nucleotides) under uncultured bacterium. RNAcentral's name for it is "partial 16S ribosomal RNA". It matches the Rfam family "Bacterial small subunit ribosomal RNA", at positions 524 to 776 of the family's 1533-position model. The record is from RNAcentral.
UACGGGGGGGGCAAGCGUUGUUCGGAAUUACUGGGCGUAAAGGGCGCGUAGGCGGCACGGCAAGUCAGGAGUGAAAGGCCUGGGCUCAACCUGGGAAUUGCUUUUGAAACUGCCGAGCUAGAGUGCGGAAGGGGCAACUGGAAUUCCCAGUGUAGCGGUGAAAUGCGUAGAUAUUGGGAAGAACACCUGAGGCGAAGGCGGGUUGCUGGGCCGACACUGACGCUGAUGCGCGAAAGCCAGGGGAGCGAACGGG